This 248-nucleotide ribosomal RNA is filed under the name uncultured bacterium. RNAcentral's name for it is "partial 16S ribosomal RNA". It matches the Rfam family "Bacterial small subunit ribosomal RNA", at positions 29 to 304 of the family's 1533-position model. The record is from RNAcentral.
AACGAACGCUGGCGGCAGGCCUAACACAUGCAAGUCGAACGCUCGUAGCAAUACGAGAGUGGCAGACGGGUGAGUAACACGUGGGAACCUUCCCUAUGGUUCGGAAUAGCUCAGGGAAACUUGAGGUAAUACCGGAUAAGCCCUUCGGGGAAGGAUUAUCGCCAUUGGAUGGGCCCGCGUCGGAUUAGCUAGUUGGUGAGGUAACGGCUCACCGAGGCGACGAUCCGUAGCUGGUCUUAGAGGAGUGA